RNAcentral lists this ribosomal RNA (433 nucleotides) under uncultured bacterium. Its description in RNAcentral is "partial 16S ribosomal RNA". It matches the Rfam family "Bacterial small subunit ribosomal RNA", at positions 29 to 507 of the family's 1533-position model. The record is from RNAcentral.
AACGAACGCUGGCGGCAUGCCUAACACAUGCAAGUCGAACGAGACCUUCAGGUCUAGUGGCUCACGGGUGCGUAACGCGUGGGAACCUGCCCUUAGGUUCGGAAUAACUUCCCGAAAGGGGUUCUAAUACCGGAUAAUGUCUUCGGACCAAAGAUUUAUCGCCUUUGGAUGGGCCCGCGUUGGAUUAGCUAGUUGGUAGGGUAAAAGCCUACCAAGGCGACGAUCCAUAGCUGGUCUGAGAGGAUGAUCAGCCACACUGGGACUGAGACACGGCCCAGACUCCUACGGGAGGCAGCAGUGGGGAAUAUUGGACAAUGGGCGAAAGUCUGAUCCAGCAAUGCCGCGUGAGUGAUGAAGGCCUUAGUGUUGUAAAGCUCUUUUACACGGGAUGAUAAUGACAGUACCGGGAGAAUAAGCUCCGGCUAACUACGUG